AUCAAGGACCAGUCUCACCCCGUGCAUUUUAUCGGGAUGCAUCACAGCUCGGUUUGGGAACAGCUGCGUCCAAGACCGCCAGAAACUGCAGCGAAUUGGGGCCGCAGCCCAGACCGUGACACAAACCAACCUCCCUUCCAUUGACUCCAUUUAUACCUCAUGCUGCCACGGCAAGGCUGCAGCAUAAUCAAGGAAGAGCUGCACCCUGCCCACUCCCACUU
Long non-coding RNA from Amblyraja radiata (thorny skate), 221 nucleotides. RefSeq lists it as uncharacterized. The transcript is spliced from 3 exons. The record is from RefSeq and is a predicted model, not a curated record. NCBI's taxonomy places the organism in Eukaryota, Metazoa, Chordata, Chondrichthyes, Rajiformes, Rajidae.